UAGGUAACCUGCCUUGUAGCGGGGGGAUAACUAUUGGAAACGAUAGCUAAUACCGCAUAACAAUGGAUGACACAUGUCAUUUAUUUUGAAAAGGGGGCAAUUGCUCCACUACAAGAUGGACCUGCGUUGUAUUAGCUAGUAGGUGAGGUAAUGGCUCACCUAGGCGACGAUACAUAGCCGACCUGAGAGGGUGAUCGGCCACACUGGGACUGAGACACGGCCCAGACUCCUACGGGAGGCAGCAUG
RNAcentral lists this ribosomal RNA (246 nucleotides) under uncultured bacterium. Its description in RNAcentral is "partial 16S ribosomal RNA". It matches the Rfam family "Bacterial small subunit ribosomal RNA", at positions 118 to 353 of the family's 1533-position model. The record is from RNAcentral.